AUUGAACGCUGGCGGCAGGCCUAACACAUGCAAGUCGAACGAGUGGCGGACGGGUGAGUAAUGUCUGGGAAACUGCCCGAUGGAGGGGGAUAACUACUGGAAACGGUAGCUAAUACCGCAUACCAUCGGCUUCUCCCAGAUGGGAUUAGCUAGUAGGUGUGGUAAUGGCUCACCUAGGCGACGAUCCCUAGCUGGUCUGAGAGGAGGACCAGCCAAACUGGAACUGAGACACGGUCCAGACUCUUACGGGAGGCAGCAGUGGGGAAGAUUGAACAAUGGGCGGAAGCGUGAUGCAGCCAUGCCGAGUGUAUGAAGAAGGCCUUCGGGUUGUAAAGUACUUUCAGCGGGGAGGCGUUACCAGCAGAAGAAGCACCGGCUAACUCCGUGCCAGCAGCCGCGGUAAUA
Molecule: ribosomal RNA, 405 nt
Filed under: uncultured bacterium
Lineage: Bacteria
Description: partial 16S ribosomal RNA
Rfam family: Bacterial small subunit ribosomal RNA
Source: RNAcentral